AUUGAACGCUGGCGGCAGGCCUAACACAUGCAAGUCGAGCGGAUGAAGGGAGCUUGCUCCUGGAUUCAGCGGCGGACGGGUGAGUAAUGCCUAGGAAUCUGCCUGGUAGUGGGGGAUAACGUCCGGAAACGGGCGCUAAUACCGCAUACGUCCUGAGGGAGAAAGUGGGGGAUCUUCGGACCUCACGCUAUCAGAUGAGCCUAGGUCGGAUUAGCUAGUUGGUGGGGUAAAGGCUACCAAGGCGACGAUCCGUAACUGGUCUGAGAGGAUGAUCAGUCACACUGGAACUGAGACACGGUCCAGACUCCUACGGGAGGCAGCAGUGGGGAAUAUUGGACAAUGGGCGAAAGCCUGAUCCAGCCAUGCCGCGUGUGUGAAGAAGGUCUUCGGAUUGUAAAGCACUUUAAGUUGGGAGGAAGGGCAGUAAGUUAAUACCUUGCUGUUUUGACGUUACCAACAGAAUAGCACCGGCUAAUU
RNAcentral lists this ribosomal RNA (477 nucleotides) under Pseudomonas aeruginosa. RNAcentral describes it as "bacterial SSU rRNA". It matches the Rfam family "Bacterial small subunit ribosomal RNA", at positions 30 to 502 of the family's 1533-position model. Lineage: Bacteria; Pseudomonadati; Pseudomonadota; Gammaproteobacteria; Pseudomonadales; Pseudomonadaceae. The record is from RNAcentral.